RNAcentral lists this ribosomal RNA (317 nucleotides) under Escherichia coli. Its description in RNAcentral is "bacterial SSU rRNA". It matches the Rfam family "Bacterial small subunit ribosomal RNA", at positions 1 to 307 of the family's 1533-position model. RNAcentral also lists the same sequence under 1 other name. Lineage: Bacteria; Pseudomonadati; Pseudomonadota; Gammaproteobacteria; Enterobacterales; Enterobacteriaceae. The record is from RNAcentral.
UUUAUGGAGAGUUUGAUCCUGGCUCAGGAUGAACGCUGGCGGCGUGCCUAAUACAUGCAAGUCGAGCGAACGGACGAGAAGCUUGCUUCUCUGAUGUUAGCGGCGGACGGGUGAGUAACACGUGGAUAACCUACCUAUAAGACUGGGAUAACUUCGGGAAACCGGAGCUAAUACCGGAUAAUAUUUUGAACCGCAUGGUUCAAAAGUGAAAGACGGUCUUGCUGUCACUUAUAGAUGGAUCCGCGCUGCAUUAGCUAGUUGGUAAGGUAACGGCUUACCAAGGCAACGAUGCAUAGCCGACCUGAGAGGGUGAUCGG